AAAGGGGAGCAAUCCCUGAGUAGAGUGGCAAACGGGUGAGUAACACGUGGGUGACCUGCCUUCGAGUGGGGGAUAACGUUCCGAAAGGAACGCUAAUACCGCAUGACAUCCUGCUUUUGGAAAAGCGGAGAUCAAAGCUGGGGAUUCGCAAGAACCUGGCGCUUGAAGAGGGGCCCGCGCCUGAUCAGCUAGUUGGUGAGGUAACGGCUCACCAAGGCUACGAUCAGUAUCCGGCCUGAGAGGGCGGACGGACACACUGGGACUGAGACACGGCCCAGACUCCUACGGGAGGCAGCAGUGGGGAAUUGUUCGCAAUGGGCGCAAGCCUGACGACGCAACGCCGCGUGGAGGAUGAAGAUCUUCGGGUCGUAAACUCCUGUCGAGUGGGAAGAAUUGCUCCAGGGUGAAUAUCUCUGGAGUUUGACGGUACCACUAAAGGAAGCCCCGGCUAACUCCGUGCCAGCAGCCGCGGUAAUACGGGGGGGGCAAGCGUUGUUCGGAAUUACUGGGCGUAAAGGGCUCGUAGGCGGCCAACUAAGUCGGAUGUGAAAUCCCCAGGCUCAACCUGGGAACUGCAUCCGAUACUGGAUGGCUUGAAUUCGGGAGAGGGAUGCAGAAUUCCAGGUGUAGCGGUGAAAUGCGUAGAUAUCUGGAGGAAUACCGGUGGCGAAGGCGGCAUCCUGGACCGACAUUGACGCUGAUGAGCGAAAGCUAGGGGAGCAAACGGGAUUAGAUACCCCGGUAGUCCUAGCCCUAAACGAUGAAUGCUUGGUGUAACGGGUAUCGAUCCCUGUUGUGCCGAAGCUAACGCAUUAAGCAUUCCGCCUGGGGAGUACGGUCGCAAGGCUGAAACUCAA
This 857-nucleotide ribosomal RNA is filed under the name uncultured Pseudomonadota bacterium. RNAcentral describes it as "bacterial SSU rRNA". It matches the Rfam family "Bacterial small subunit ribosomal RNA", at positions 71 to 904 of the family's 1533-position model. The record is from RNAcentral. Lineage: Bacteria; Pseudomonadati; Pseudomonadota.